Molecule: long non-coding RNA, 779 nt
Filed under: Equus caballus (horse)
Lineage: Eukaryota; Metazoa; Chordata; Mammalia; Perissodactyla; Equidae
Description: lncRNA (ENSECAG00000030957.3)
Source: RNAcentral
CACAGCACCAGCCUCAAGCAUUUACUCAGUCUGGGGUGUUAGGCACAGGAAAACUAGCAACAUCCUUCCUCUAGCCAAGGACCUUGUAAUCUUGUUAGAGAGACAAGAAUCUGGGCUCUUAAACAAUCAACGUCCUGUAUAAGGGACAAAAAGGGAAGACACAGGGAACAAAUAAAAGCCAUUUCCUUUUUGAGAACUUUCUUACCUCCAGAACACAAGGAAGUGGGCUUUGGCAAUGAUCUCGGCAGAAACCUCAGCCACAGACCACUGGGCGAUCAAGAAUGCUGCUGUGGCUUCCUGGGGACCCACAGCGCCUGUCCACAUGGAUCAAAUAACUCAAAUGUUCUAAGUCACAGGCAGUGGACGGAGUUCCUUGGAAUACUCACAAGGCCUCAGUCGUUACAGGAGCUGGAUCCUCUCCAGUGGAAGAGACAUUUUUUGUGGACCAGAGACCUGAGAGAGAAGCAGAAAGAAGUGUUCAGCAACGUGCUGGGGGCCCGCAUCCUAGGGAUGAAUCAUGCCAGUGAUUGGUUUGGGGUGGCCAUGUGACCCAGGUCUGGCCAGUGAAAUGGAAGGGAAAGUCUUUGGGGUAGAGCUGGACCACUGGGAAACAUUUUCCUCUCUGACAAACUAAAGAGUGACGUUAGGAGAAGACUUUCUUUGCUUCAUGUUUUGCAUGCUGUCGUGUGUUUUCAAGCACCCAUGGCCUCUUUUUUCUCUCUAAUCUUACCUUCUAUGACAUUCCUCCUCCAUCACACCAAUCCAGCUACUGGUCUCCU